Molecule: long non-coding RNA, 1803 nt
Organism: Heterocephalus glaber (naked mole-rat)
Lineage: Eukaryota; Metazoa; Chordata; Mammalia; Rodentia; Bathyergidae
Source: Ensembl
CUCUCCUUUGUUCAGAGACAGCCCGGCAGAUCUAUUCCCUAAUAAAGGCUUGUUGUGGCCUGGUCUGGUCUUGGUCUUCGGCCCUUUUACCUGACAUUUCUGGUGCCGUGACUCGGAUGGUAGAUGGUCCAUUAAGGGACGAUCCCCCCGCAGGACGGGGUUGAUUGACCUUUUGGCCAUCUCCAACGGACCUAUCUGCCGUUGCCAGGACCCUCCGGGGCUUUCUACCUUUGCCAUUGCUGACGCUACACAUCCACACCGGUCACCAAUGUCUGGGUGAGUAGGGAGUUCAGCCUCCCUCUCGUCGGGUUCUCUGUCUCGUUCUCUCUCCCUCCGGGGACUUCCUCAGAAAUCCAAGCGCUUGGUCAGAGAAACCCCCACGGCCUCUGGGCCCAGGACCGUGCCCCUGGGAGACGUCCCAUCGGCCCGCCUCCUCUCGUUCUCUCCCUCUGGGAGACUCACUCGGAGAUUGUCAAAGGAGACAAGGACGCUUCUCCCCUUUGUCUUUCUCCCCAGGGGCUGCCUCCCCCUCACCCGCUCUAAUCAGGGGGCCCAACAAUCCAAACCCCGCCCCUCAACGCCUCUGGGCUGCCUUCUGGCACAACUCAAACCCCUCGGAUUGUUGGGACCAGACUUUAGGCCAAAAAGAUUUGUUUUCUAUUGUAAUCAGGUUUGGCCUCAGUAUAAAUUAGAUAAUGGGUUUCCACGCCCCAAAAAUGGCACUUUCAAUUUUAACAUACUGUGUGAUUUACACAACUUCUGUCAGUGCAAUGGCAAAUGGUCAGAAAUCCCCUACAUACAAGCCUUUUCUACCUAUGCUCUUAACCCUCCCUCUGUCAAACCUGGGGCCCAACAAUCCAAACCCCGCCCCUCAACGCCUCUGGGCUGCCUUCUGGCACAACUCAAACCCCUCGGAUUGUUGGGACCAGACUUUAGGCCAAAAAGAUUUGUUUUCUAUUGUAAUCAGGUUUGGCCUCAGUAUAAAUUAGAUAAUGGGUUUCCACGCCCCAAAAAUGGCACUUUCAAUUUUAACAUACUGUGUGAUUUACACAACUUCUGUCAGUGCAAUGGCAAAUGGUCAGAAAUCCCCUACAUACAAGCCUUUUCUACCUAUGCUCUUAACCCUCCCUCUGUCAAACCUGUUCUUCUCAAGUACUCCUAGCCUGAGCUGAUCACUCACCGCUCAUACCUCCCCCACUUUAUAACUCUGUUGAUAAGAAAAAGUUUUAAAGCUUAAUAGAUUAGCUAUUAAAGUAGUUGUGGAAGCAAACUAAGUAGUGUAUCCCUUUAAAAACUUGCAUUAGCCCAUUGCUUCUGCUGUUCAAAGUAAAGGUUAUAUAGCUUCUUUGAUUUGUAGCUCCACUAUAGAUAACAUCCUAACUAAAGAAUGAAGUAAAAAUCCUUGAACAAACUUGUGAUAUAUGUGCCUUAAUUGUCAUGUGUUUAGGGCUGUAAUCAGUGACAGAAACCACCUGUGUCUAACCAUUAAACAGGAAUUAGAACUUUAUUUACUUAACAAAGACCACUAGGGAUGAGAUAAUGAUGGACAAAAGUAUAAAAUGUUUAUAGUGAGUCGGAGACAAAAUAUUUAAAAAGCUAUAAGUAAAAGAUAUAUUUUUGAUAUAAAAGGAUUUUAUAUGUUUGUCUUAUUAGCAGGACAAGACCAAAAGGCCUAAGUACAUCAAGAAGGUGUGCGAAAGUGAUUUAUAAAGGAAAUAUAUGUUUACUUGUUGGUUUCAAGUUUAUUAUAAAAGGUUUACAGGAAUAGAGGUUUCAUUCCUUCUGAUUUUAAUUCUACAAGAG